UACGGAGGGGGCUAGCGUUGUUCGGAAUUACUGGGCGUAAAGCGCACGUAGGCGGCUUUGUAAGUUAGAGGUGAAAGCCCAGGGCUCAACCCUGGAAUUGCCUUUAAGACUGCAUCGCUUGAACAUCGGAGAGGUAAGUGGAAUUCCGAGUGUAGAGGUGAAAUUCGUAGAUAUUCGGAAGAACACCAGUGGCGAAGGCGGCUCACUGGCCCGGUACUGACGCUGAGGUGCGAAAGCGUGGGGAGCAAACAGG
Molecule: ribosomal RNA, 253 nt
Filed under: uncultured bacterium
Lineage: Bacteria
Description: partial 16S ribosomal RNA
Rfam family: Bacterial small subunit ribosomal RNA
Source: RNAcentral